Molecule: ribosomal RNA, 492 nt
Filed under: uncultured bacterium
Lineage: Bacteria
Description: partial 16S ribosomal RNA
Rfam family: Bacterial small subunit ribosomal RNA
Source: RNAcentral
AGUGAACGCUGGCGGUAGGCCUAACACAUGCAAGUCGAACGGCAGCACAGUAAGAGCUUGCUCUUACGGGUGGCGAGUGGCGGACGGGUGAGGAAUACAUCGGAAUCUACUUUUUCGUGGGGGAUAACGUAGGGAAACUUACGCUAAUACCGCAUACGCCCUACGGGUGAAAGCAGGGGAACUUCGGACCUUGCGCGAUUGAAUGAGCCGAUGUCGGAUUAGCUAGUUGGCGGGGUAAAGGCCCACCAAGGCGACGAUCCGUAGCUGGUCUGAGAGGAUGAACAGCCACACUGGAACUGAGACACGGUCCAGACUCCUACGGGAGGCAGCAGUGGGGAAUAUUGGACAAUGGGCGCAAGCCUGAUCCAGCCAUACCGCGUGGGUGAAGAAGGCCUUCGGCUUGUAAAGCCCUUUUGUUGGGAAAGAAAAGCAGCAGGUUAAUACCCCGCUGUUCUGACGGUACCCAAAGAAUAAGCACCGGCUAACUUCGUG